RNAcentral lists this ribosomal RNA (659 nucleotides) under Escherichia coli. RNAcentral's name for it is "partial 23S ribosomal RNA". It matches the Rfam family "Bacterial large subunit ribosomal RNA", at positions 610 to 1268 of the family's 2925-position model. The record is from RNAcentral. Lineage: Bacteria; Pseudomonadati; Pseudomonadota; Gammaproteobacteria; Enterobacterales; Enterobacteriaceae.
GUAUAAUGGGUCAGCGACUUAUAUUCUGUAGCAAGGUUAACCGAAUAGGGGAGCCGAAGGGAAACCGAGUCUUAACUGGGCGUUAAGUUGCAGGGUAUAGACCCGAAACCCGGUGAUCUAGCCAUGGGCAGGUUGAAGGUUGGGUAACACUAACUGGAGGACCGAACCGACUAAUGUUGAAAAAUUAGCGGAUGACUUGUGGCUGGGGGUGAAAGGCCAAUCAAACCGGGAGAUAGCUGGUUCUCCCCGAAAGCUAUUUAGGUAGCGCCUCGUGAAUUCAUCUCCGGGGGUAGAGCACUGUUUCGGCAAGGGGGUCAUCCCGACUUACCAACCCGAUGCAAACUGCGAAUACCGGAGAAUGUUAUCACGGGAGACACACGGCGGGUGCUAACGUCCGUCGUGAAGAGGGAAACAACCCAGACCGCCAGCUAAGGUCCCAAAGUCAUGGUUAAGUGGGAAACGAUGUGGGAAGGCCCAGACAGCCAGGAUGUUGGCUUAGAAGCAGCCAUCAUUUAAAGAAAGCGUAAUAGCUCACUGGUCGAGUCGGCCUGCGCGGAAGAUGUAACGGGGCUAAACCAUGCACCGAAGCUGCGGCAGCGACGCUUAUGCGUUGUUGGGUAGGGGAGCGUUCUGUAAGCCUGCGAAGGUGUGCUGUGAGG